UACGUAUUGGCUUUACAAAGCUCUACCAGAGAUACCAGGUUUGUACAUAGAAAUAUUCCCAUAUUCAGUGUCAUUAUUGAUCAAGAAAAUGGUGGUCUUUUCUCUUUUGUUUUACAAUUGGCACAAGUCCGGAGCGCCUUUCAGGUUUACUUGGAUCAUUUUCUCUAUUGCCUGCAAAGGAAGAGCCCAAAGGUUCGAUAGGUUCUUUACGUCGUCAGAGCAGUGGAGUUGACAUUGCUUCAAGGAACUUUGAAGGCUCUUCUAAUCCUUCAAAGAUACGCAGAAUUGCUUCGGCCUCGGCCAAUAUCAAUGAUUUGACUUCACAAUGCUCGCCUACGAAUCCAGCUCCUCUUAAGCGGACAAGUAGCUGGUCUGUUGAUGAAAAGUUACUCAUCCAAUCACUAUAUAAGGUUAUGACCUCUGUAUCUAAAGCAUAUCCUAUCAUUUUAUACUUGAGAGACGUGGACAUGAUCUUGUUCAGAUCUCAAAAGCUAUAUAGAUUGUUCCAGAAAAUGUUGCAGAGAUUUUCAGGACCAGUACUCAUAUUAGGUUCACGUAAAACAUCAAGACAGCAAUGAUGGUGACAUUGAUGACAUGCUUGUUGAUUUAUUUCCUUACAACAUUGAAAUUAAGCCACCUGAAGAUGAAACCCAUCUGGUAAGCUGGAAGUCUCAAUUGGAAGAGGAUAUGAAGAUGCUUCAGUGUCAGGACAAAAAAAAAGCAUUGAAAUUAUAUGAGAUUUGUAUUAGAUUUUGUUCUAAGUAUACUAGAAUUUAGUUGUAGAAUUAUUUUUUCACUUGUAAUUACAUUUAUUAUCAACAAUAAUUGAAUUGAUUAA
Beta vulgaris subsp. vulgaris (sugar beet) is the source of this 838-nucleotide long non-coding RNA. RefSeq lists it as uncharacterized. NCBI's taxonomy places the organism in Eukaryota, Viridiplantae, Streptophyta, Magnoliopsida, Caryophyllales, Amaranthaceae. The record is from RefSeq and is a predicted model, not a curated record. The transcript has 5 exons.